Molecule: ribosomal RNA, 253 nt
Filed under: uncultured bacterium
Lineage: Bacteria
Description: partial 16S ribosomal RNA
Rfam family: Bacterial small subunit ribosomal RNA
Source: RNAcentral
UACGUAGGGGGCAAGCGUUGUCCGGAUUUACUGGGCGUAAAGAGCGCGUAGGCGGAGAUCUAAGCGUGGCCUGAAAGCCCCCGGCUCGACCGGGGAGUGUGGCUGCGAACUGGGUUUCUUGAGGACGAUAGAGGAGAGUGGAAUUCCUGGUGUAGCGGUGAAAUGCGUAGAUAUCAGGAGGAACACCCGAGGCGAAGGCGGCUCUCUGGGUCGUACCUGACGCUGAGGAGCGAAAGCGUGGGGAGCGAACAGG